UAAGUACAAGCAAAAAGCGAACUGGAAAUAUAUAAUCAAUUAGCACCCACACAACCAAAGAACAGAAAGGAGUUUUAUCAUCAUCUGUUUCUAGUUAUUUUUUCCUCAUUUCCUUUCCUCCUUUGCCGAUAUU
This 133-nucleotide non-coding RNA is filed under the name Protocruzia adhaerens. Lineage: Eukaryota; Ciliophora; Spirotrichea. The record is from RNAcentral.